UCCAGACUCCUACGGGAGGCAGCAGUGGGGGAUAUUGCACAAUGGGGGAAACCCUGAUGCAGCGACGCCGCGUGGGUGAAGAAGUAUUUCGGUAUGUAAAGCCCUCUCAGCAGGGAAGAAAGAAGACGGUACCUGGCUAAGAAGCCCCGGCUAACUACGUGCCAGCAGCCGCGGUAAUACGUAGGGGGCGAGCGUUAUCCGGAUUCACUGGGUGUAAAGGGAGCGUAGACGGCCGUGCAAGCCAGGAGUGAAAGCCCGGGGCCCAACCCCGGGACUGCUCUUGGAACUGUGCGGCUGGAGUGCGGGAGGGGCAGGCGGAAUUCCUGGUGUAGCGGUGAAAUGCGUAGAUAUCAGGAGGAACACCGGCGGCGAAGGCGGCCUGCUGGACCGCGACUGACGUUGAGGCUCGAAAGCGUGGGGAGCGAACAGGAUUAGAUACCCUAGUAACC
Molecule: ribosomal RNA, 449 nt
Filed under: uncultured bacterium
Lineage: Bacteria
Description: bacterial SSU rRNA
Rfam family: Bacterial small subunit ribosomal RNA
Source: RNAcentral